Molecule: long non-coding RNA, 965 nt
Organism: Corapipo altera (White-ruffed manakin)
Lineage: Eukaryota; Metazoa; Chordata; Aves; Passeriformes; Pipridae
Exons: 4
Source: RefSeq, a predicted model, not a curated record
GAAAGGAAAUUCAUCAAAAGGAAGAGGAGGAAAAGAAAAAAUGAAAAGAGAAAAAAAAAAAAGGAAGAGAAAGGAAAUGAGAGGCAGAAAAAAACGGGGAAAAAGACAACUUUCAGAGUCUGGAAUUAAAACCCGAGGGAGGAUGUGAGUUCAUCCCACGUGAAGCUCAUUUUCUGGCCAACGAGUCGCAGGUCUCUGUCCCCCAUGAAAGUUCACAGGGAAUAUCCUGCUCAGAUCAGCUCGUUACCACAUGAACCCAGGAGUGGGGGCUGUAUGGAAAACCUCACCCUCCAAAAGCCAUGAGCCCCUGCCUACAGGGAUCUGACAGCAGGACCUGCCUUGUGGGACCCUCAGCAGAAGCCCCUCACCACAGCUGGUCCCACAUGCACUCUCCUCCUCUUCCUCCUCCAACCAGCAGACCCCAGCCUGCAGCACGACAUAGAUCAUGAUUUGCACCAGCGUCCAUCCAGGCUGACCAGGGCUGCUGAGCAGCCUCGGCGUGGGGACACAGCACCAGCUCAGGGAUGGACGGGUGGAGAGGACACCGGGACAUCCCCAUCCCACUGCUGCACAACACCCCAGGGACCACUUGCUGGUGAAGAACACAAGGUUGGAAGGAAAAAAAAAAUAAGAAAAAAGAGAAAAAGAGUCUCCAACCCCAGGAAAUCUGUGUUAAUUGCUUAUGAAUGUCUCUGUCUAAAAAAUUAUCGAAUUGAUGUUGUCGUGCUUUUUUUUGACAGGCUGUCUGUUACAUUUUUUUUAAAAUAUUCAUGCACUGAAAUCUAAUUACUAGGCAAAUUUAAUGAUAAUGAAAUGAAGGCACUUUAGCAGAAAGCACAGGGCCUUGUUAAUGUUUUCUCAGCCUCUGUCUUGUUCAUAUUUUUAAAAUUAUGUUUUUUUACAACUGUCUUUCUUGCCUAUGAAAAAAAAAAGAUUGCUGAAAAUAAAACUCGGAUUGUCGAUAA